CUGGAUCAGCACCCAUUGGAGGACACAGGCAGACCCUCCACUGUGUUGAGUCUAAGUCUUGAACCAUCAGAUGUCUUUUGUGAAUUCGUGGUGAAGACGCGGAAAGGAAACCCCUUUUUAUAGUUUUAGGAAGCGAGUGGCCCCCAACGAAACCCCAACUGUUUAUUCAUAAACUUCUCACUGUAUACAAACCUGAGAAUGAACAGUUUAACCACAGUGAUCGCAGAAAUGCUGUUUAAAAGAGUCUCCUGAUGGAAGCGAAUCGAAGGUCAAGAGCAAGACCUACCAGUAAGCGGAUCCCUGGCCGUUCCCUCCCCGCGGGGACUGGGACAGUUUCUGUGGAAGUGGGCGGGGGUCCACGGUCCUCACAGCCCUGAGAAAGCACCUUCUUUUCUGCUCCUCCGAGGGGAUACCCCAGUGUCCUCGACCCCAAACUCGUGACCCCCUCAGUCCGGGAAAGACCCCUUCCCUCAGCCCCAACACCAGACCUCUCACCUCACCUGAUCCCCCCCAGUCACUUCUGCCGGGACCGGAUCAUCUGGGCCGUGUCCCCACAGCUGUCCCCAAGUCCUCCCGCCUCAUCUCCGGAGACCAGGGAGCAGCAGACGGUUCCAACGGACUUUCUGUCUUAAAGGGGCAUGAGCGUCUCACUCAGCAUCACCACUGGACCAGCUGAGACAAUAAUUAAACAUCCCAAACCUGCAAUUCGAACAAAGAAGCUCGUCAGUGGAGUCCAUCCAUCCACAAAGGACAUUGGAAAGAGUCAAACUGCUCCUUCUCAUUGACAAAAGCCAUGUGUUUAAUAUCAGGUCUUCAAUAUGCAACGUGUAGUAAGAGCUCAUUUCUCUGAGCAUACAUUCUUCAGAAAUAUAAACUUUGUUUGGAUGUCAAAUUAUUUACUAGAAAAAACAUUUUUAUGAAGGGAAAAUAAUAUACGUGAGUCUAAAUAGGAGACAGGAUUCAAAUUUUCAUCAUUUCACAAAAUGCAUCUCCAUCUGAAUUGUCGUGUGAUUUUUGUGAUAGAGAAGAUAGUGAGGAGCAAGCGACAGUCCACGUUCCUGUUAAGCCCUGGCCGUCCUUCUCAUCCACGUGCUGCCUGUGGAAAACACGCCUGGGGCUCCCCUGAGGCUGCUCGUGCUGCGUGUCACCCGGAUAGUUCUGCAAGCCACUGGCGUGCAAUAGGCAGUAAACACCGACAUCGUGAAUGAAUGAAGAAACUACCACAAAGAGGAAACA
Non-coding RNA from Macaca mulatta (Rhesus monkey), 1236 nucleotides. The record is from RefSeq and is a predicted model, not a curated record. Lineage: Eukaryota; Metazoa; Chordata; Mammalia; Primates; Cercopithecidae.